Molecule: ribosomal RNA, 371 nt
Filed under: uncultured eukaryote
Lineage: Eukaryota
Description: partial 18S ribosomal RNA
Rfam family: Eukaryotic small subunit ribosomal RNA
Source: RNAcentral
CAAUAGCGUAUAUUAAAGUUGUUGCAGUUAAAAAGCUCGUAGUUGGAUUUGUGGCGGUCCCUGUGGUCCAAUUUUGGUACUCUCGGGGACUGCCAUCCUUGGGUGGAUCCUGUGUGGCAUUAGGUUGUCGUGCAGGGGAUGCCCAUCGUUUACUGUGAAAAAAUUAGAGUGUUCAAAGCAGGCUUACGCCGUUGAAUAUAUUAGCAUGGAAUAAUGAGAUAGGACCUUGGUACUAUUUUGUUGGUUUGCGCACCGAGGUAACGAUUAAUAGGGACAGUUGUGGGUAUUCGUAUUCCAUUGUCAGAGGUGAAAUUCUUGGAUUUCUGGAAGACGAACUACUGCGAAAGCAUUUACCAAGGAUGUUUNCAUUA